UACAGAGGUCUCAAGCGUUGUUCGGAUUCAUUGGGCGUAAAGGGUGCGUAGGUGGCGCUGUAAGUCGGGUGUGAAAUUUCGGAGCUUAACUCCGAAACUGCAUUCGAUACUGCGGUGCUUGAGGACUGGAGAGGAGACUGGAAUUCAUGGUGUAGCAGUGAAAUGCGUAGAGAUCAUGAGGAAGACCAGUGGCGAAGGCGUGUCUCUGGACAGUUCCUGACACUGAGGCACGAAGGCCAGGGGAGCAAACGGG
This 253-nucleotide ribosomal RNA is filed under the name uncultured bacterium. RNAcentral describes it as "partial 16S ribosomal RNA". It matches the Rfam family "Bacterial small subunit ribosomal RNA", at positions 524 to 776 of the family's 1533-position model. The record is from RNAcentral.